CCUACGGGUGGCAGCAGUGGGGAAUAUUGGACAAUGGGGGCAACCCUGAUCCAGCCAUGCCGCGUGUGUGAAGAAGGCCCUCGGGUUGUAAAGCACUUUCAGUGAGGAAGAACGCCUGGUGGUUAAUACCCAUCAGGAAAGACAUCACUCACAGAAGAAGCACCGGCUAACUCCGUGCCAGCAGCCGCGGUAAUACGGAGGGUGCGAGCGUUAAUCGGAAUUACUGGGCGUAAAGCGCGCGUAGGUGGCUUGAUAAGCCGGUUGUGAAAGCCCCGGGCUCAACCUGGGAACGGCAUCCGGAACUGUCAAGCUAGAGUGCAGGAGAGGAAGGUAGAAUUCCCGGUGUAGCGGUGAAAUGCGUAGAGAUCGGGAGGAAUACCAGUGGCGAAGGCGGCCUUCUGGACUGACACUGACACUGAGGUGCGACAGCGUGGGUAGCAAACAGGAUUAGAUACCCCAGUAGUC
RNAcentral lists this ribosomal RNA (465 nucleotides) under Vreelandella stevensii. RNAcentral's name for it is "partial 16S ribosomal RNA". It matches the Rfam family "Bacterial small subunit ribosomal RNA", at positions 338 to 795 of the family's 1533-position model. Lineage: Bacteria; Pseudomonadati; Pseudomonadota; Gammaproteobacteria; Oceanospirillales; Halomonadaceae. The record is from RNAcentral.